ACGAACGCUGGCGGCGUGCCUAAUACAUGCAAGUCGAACGCUUCUUUCCUCCCGAGUGCUUGCACUCAAUUGGAAAGAGGAGUGGCGGACGGGUGAGUAACCCGUGGGUAACCUACCCAUCAGAGGGGGAUAACACUUGGAAACAGGUGCUAAUACCGCAUAACAGUUUAUGCCGCAUGGCAUAAGAGUGAAAGGCGCUUUCGGGUGUCGCUGAUGGAUGGACCCGCGGUGCAUUAGCUAGUUGGUGAGGUAACGGCUCACCAAGGCCACGAUGCAUAGCCGACCUGAGAGGGUGAUCGGCCACACUGGGACUGAGACACGGCCCAGACUCCUACGGGAGGCAGCAGUAGGGAAUCUUCGGCAAAGGACGAAAGUCUGACCGAGCAACGCCGCGUGAGUGAAGAAGGUUUUCGGAUCGUAAAACUCUGUUGUUAGAGAAGAACAAGGACGUUAGUAACUGAACGUCCCCUGACGGUAUCUAACCAGAAAGCCACGGCUAACUACGUG
RNAcentral lists this ribosomal RNA (507 nucleotides) under uncultured bacterium. RNAcentral describes it as "partial 16S ribosomal RNA". It matches the Rfam family "Bacterial small subunit ribosomal RNA", at positions 29 to 507 of the family's 1533-position model. The record is from RNAcentral.